RNAcentral lists this long non-coding RNA (649 nucleotides) under Ananas comosus (pineapple). Its description in RNAcentral is "long non-coding RNA (ACOM_LNC025744)". The record is from RNAcentral. Lineage: Eukaryota; Viridiplantae; Streptophyta; Magnoliopsida; Poales; Bromeliaceae.
GUAUAGGGUUAGGAAUUGAAAAUUCAUAGGAAUCUGAUGUGACAGGAAUUUACGAUUCUCACGAAAAAAAUUCCCAUUCCACUACAGCAGAAUUAGAUUAUAGCGACACAUGUUUGAGACACUUUUGUGUAAGUGUCCUAUUUAUGCUAAAACUUUAAAAAAAAUCUACAAAUGCCUAAAUAAAAAGCCUAAUACAACCAAAAAUAAAAGGUUACUCUACUCAACCCACCCCAUCCAGCCCAUUCGGCCCGAUUACAAACAGAAAAGAAAAAAAAAAAAAAAAUCGAUUACCAUCUCCCUUUCUUCCUUACUCAAUCCACUGAAAUUCUAGACGAAGAGCCCUUCCCUUUCCUCAUCCUCCGCCACUGCAGCCAACGAGGUAGAGUUCCGGCGGUUGCUAAAUGCUUAAAUAAGUGUUAGUAAAUUAGCAACACUCUUUUGGCUUAUACCGACACUCUCUAACUGUCACUAUAUACCUAGCGACCCCAUAUAUAGCAACACUUUUUAAAAGUGUAGGUAGUUUAGCUAGCAAUAAUUUUUUUUUACCUGUACCGACAUUUAAAAGUGUCGCUAUAGACCAUUUUUGUUGUAGUAUUCACAAAAUAUAGAAAUUCAAAACCCACCUCACAUUCUUAGUUUUUUUUUUUUU